RNAcentral lists this ribosomal RNA (360 nucleotides) under Phyllobates vittatus. Its description in RNAcentral is "partial 12S ribosomal RNA". It matches the Rfam family "Bacterial small subunit ribosomal RNA", at positions 796 to 1374 of the family's 1533-position model. Lineage: Eukaryota; Metazoa; Chordata; Amphibia; Anura; Dendrobatidae. The record is from RNAcentral.
UCAGUCGUAAACUUUAAUUUACUUUCUUCUCGCCAGGGAACUACGAGCUAAGCUUAAAACCCAAAGGACUUGACGGUACCCCAUAUCCCCCUAGAGGAGCCUGUCCUAUAAUCGAUAACCCCCGUUUAACCUCACCAUUUUUAGUUAUUCAGCCUGUAUACCUCCGUCGUCAGCUUACCACGUGAGCGUUAGUGAGCUAAAUGUUUUUUCAACCACACGUCAGGUCAAGGUGCAACAAAUGAAAUGGGAAGAGAUGGGCUACACUUUCUAUAAUAGACUAAACGAAAGACUUUAUGAAAUCUAGUCAGAAGGCGGAUUUAGAAGUAAAACGGAACUAGAGAGUCCUUUUUAACCCGGCAC